This 428-nucleotide ribosomal RNA is filed under the name uncultured bacterium. RNAcentral's name for it is "partial 16S ribosomal RNA". It matches the Rfam family "Bacterial small subunit ribosomal RNA", at positions 354 to 796 of the family's 1533-position model. The record is from RNAcentral.
GUGGGGAAUAUUGGGCAAUGGGCGCAAGCCUGACCCAGCGACGCCGCGUGGGGGAAGAAGUCUUUCGGGAUGUAAACCCUUGUUGUACGGGACGAAACGAAUGACGGUACCGUACGAGGAAGCCCCGGCAAACUACGUGCCAGCAGCCGCGGUAAUACGUAGGGGGCGAGCGUUGUCCGGAAUUACUGGGCGUAAAGCGCACGUAGGCGGGCUGUCAAGUCGGCCGUGAAAGGCACUGGCUCAACCGGUGUUUGUCGGGCGAUACUGGCGGUCUGGAGUAUGGGAGAGGGAACUGGAAGUCCCGGUGUAGCGGUGAAAUGCGUAGAUAUCGGGAGGAACACCAGUGGCGAAGGCGACACCCUGGACCGAUACUGACACUGAGGUGCGAAAGCGUGGGUAGCGAACAGGAUUAGAAACCCCGGUAGUCC